This is a small nucleolar RNA of Cynoglossus semilaevis (tongue sole), 131 nucleotides long. Ensembl annotates it as small nucleolar RNA SNORA44. NCBI's taxonomy places the organism in Eukaryota, Metazoa, Chordata, Actinopteri, Pleuronectiformes, Cynoglossidae. The record is from Ensembl.
AAGCAUGCUAUCCUAAGGACCUGGGCUCCUCCGUAGUUCAAGGUUCUCCAAGUGCAUGCAACAAUAUUGGCCAGACUUUGACUGCUGUAGACCUAAUUUGUCCUCAGCAGCCACUCAUCUGCCCAACAGCU